Equus caballus (horse) is the source of this 2713-nucleotide long non-coding RNA. NCBI's taxonomy places the organism in Eukaryota, Metazoa, Chordata, Mammalia, Perissodactyla, Equidae. The record is from Ensembl.
AGCCUCCGCGAAGCUGCAUUCUCCUGCAGGCCGCAUUCCCGGACCACCGUGCACUUCUUGCGCCCCUGUUCCCGCCUCAAUCCAAGCGACCUUGCACAGCCGCCUCGCUGCUCUCCCGACAUCCUCCUGGCUGGCCCUCCCGGCUGCGUCAAGGCACAGCUGCUCUGAACUCCAACCUGCACUCGUGUGCUGCUUCGAACCCCAGCUCUGCCACGGCUCUGUUACUCAGGCCCAGCUGCCCCUGGAAGGUAACUGGAUCAAUCCCACCAGCUUCUCGCCUAUGACUGAGUCAGGCGGAGGUGCACCACCUGUCAGGGAACCUGCCCUGGAGGCCUGGCCCCGCCCUCCUCACGUGACAGGACUUGGCCCCACCCCCUCGUAGAGGGCUCACGCCUCCAGGAAUCUGCGAGCGAGCCCGUGCCGUGGGCCGGAGGGCAGCGCCUGACCUGGGGACGCCCAGGACCGCGGGCUUCUUCUUGGAGAGCAUGUCAGCACUGAAGAGGAACCUUCUGGGAGCGUGCGGGGUGCGUGGGUUCCCGGGCUGCUGCAGGCAGCGAGCAGCUUUCGUCUGUGGAGGAAUCUUCAAACCUGCCUGAUCUAGCCUGGCCUGGCUCACAGCUGUCAUCCAGGGAGCUCCCGGCCUCUCCUGAACUGCGUUCCUUGUCUUCCUCUUUCUUGGCUUACUCCCUCAUUUUGCUGUACCAUAUCCUCUAGUGGUUUUCUGAGAAAGGAUACAUACAAGCCCUGGGAAUCCGUCUACUCUCAGGAAGGAGGGAGUGUGGGCAAGUGUAUCAGUCGUCCAUUGCACAAUACUGGGGUGUAACAACAGCAAGUCCUCAGUAGCAAGCAGCAACCGUCUCUCAGCUCACAAACCUGCAGGGUCCUGCCAAGCUGGACCAGGCUCAAGCCUCAGUUCUUCUGGCCCCACUGGAGUCCGGCAGGCAUCAGCAGCAGCUGCUGGUCAUCUAGGCCGGUGCUCCUCAGCGGUUAGCACGCAUUGGAAUCACCAGUGGGUGUGCUCAGCCCCAGGUCCCUGGGCCUCACCACCCGAGAUUCAGUGGCACGGAAUCCACCUCUCCUGGCUCGUUCAGGUCGGCAGGUCAGCCGGCUCUGGGCUGACCCACAAAGAGUGGGGUGCCUCAGCUCUCUGCUUGUUUUCUCACACUCCAGCAGGCCAGCUCCAGCAUGUUCUCACGGCAGUUGCAGGGGCGCUGGCCAGGUUGCAGGAGCCCCUCUGAGACGUCUGUUGUGUUACACUGGCCCACAUCCUCUGAGCCCAGAGCCCAAGUGUGUCAUGUGGCCUGGGGUGAGGCUGUGAGAGAGGGAGGAAUUGAGGCCUUCAGAGCGAGCCGCCUGCCCUGGGAGACACUGAAGAAAAUGCACUCGGACGCGGCGCCUUCGCCCAGAGCUCCCUGUCUUCAUCUCCUUGGCGCAUUGCGUGUCUAUCUCUACCCGGGCUCCCUUCUGGCCUGUGUCUUCAACACCUGCUCACUAAGGACGUCGGUUUGGCCUCCCGAACAUAUCUGACGUCCACCCGCUUCUCUCCCUUCCCACUGCAUCCCACCUGGUUUUAAGGGCUGUCACCGCUUCCUUAAACUGUUGCCACAGCCCCUGGCUUUUCCUCUUUCCCCUGAGGCGAAGCUCUGCCAGUCUGAUCUGUACCCCGCAGCGGACGUGCGUGUUCUGCAGUGCGGCCCUGAGCGUGGCACGCUCUGCUGGCGGCGCUGGCCUCCUGGUGGAGGCUCUGCUGGGCGCCCACCGGGCAGCUGUGCCAGGAAGUGCAGGGCCUCCUUCUCGCACCCAAGGAGAGCCCCCGUUUCUGCCGUUUCCACUGUGUUCUGACUCUGGCAGGGGGGACUUUUGGAAUUCAUCUUUCUCUUCCUCCUGCCGCCCCAGGUCUCUCUGGAGCCCAGCCGUUAGUCCUCUCAGGUUCUUGUUUUCCAUGUGGGGGUGGGGGCUGGGGGCUUCUAAGGAUAGGAAAGAACAAUGUAAUGAGAUGUUGCCUCAAAGAAAUAUUACCCCCAAGCCCAUCCACCACUGAAAACUACAGUUCGUGCUGUUGGCCCUCCCCUGAUGCUCCUGGCCCCUCCCCAGGGUGGCCGCACACUCCCUUCCUGGACCCCUUCCUUCUCCUCCAGCCUCUGUCCGCUCCACAGAUAGGGAGCCAGGACAGCAAGCUGGCCACGUGUAACCCGGCUUGGGGAGGAGCAGAGCUCGUCCACAUCUACCAUGGGGGCAGCCGCCUCCCAGGAACGGGCUGUGCAGGAACACGUGCCCUGUGCCGCCCAGCCCUCCAAGGAAAUCCGAGCGGCCUCCUGCUGCUACGGGGGCAGGCUCAAGGUCUGCCUGCGGCUUGUGUGUCUGUACGGGAGACGGACCUCUCACUGACGCAGCCUGCUGUCUCAUGACAGUGGGGACCCCCUGUGUUGUCCACUCCUGGAUGGGGUGCCCAGCCCCUUGGACUCACAUGCUGGUGCCCUUUGGGGGUGAUCUCUGGGUGGGGUAUCCCCCUCCAGCUGCCUCAGCAGCUUCAGUCUGGCCUUGGGGCGUCUCCAGCUUUGAUCCCUGCGUGGGAGGCCAGCACUGGGCCACCAUGGCCUCCGGUGUAUUGCCUUACUCUGUGGGACCCCUGCCCCUGUACUCCUCCGGCCCUCCAGCUCUGAGCAGGGACGCCCCCGGCCACUGUACCCAGGUGGGAUGGCAGACUCCAGCC